CCCUCACGGCGGCGUCACCGGGCGGGACCGGGCGGGAAGCGGGGCGGCUCGCUGCUAGGGGCCCGGCGCGGGCAGCAGCUCGAGAGCCGGCCCGCUGACAGGCGGCUGCCGGGGGAGCGGAGGGUGGCAGGUACUUGCGGCCGCACCGUUAAGCCUCCGCCGUGGCGGGUUGUUUCCCGCCCCGAGCCCCGCUGCGGUUUGGAACGGAGCGCGCAGCGCGCAUGCGCCGCUCCCCGCUUACGCGCGCACCCUGGCAACCAACGAGGAAGCGAGCUGCUGUAGCACGGGGCGCCCGAGCUGCUCCCCGCAACCUCAUGUCUGCGCAUGCGCAGGGUUGUCAGGCGGCGAGCACUCGACCCCGGGGGCACAGGGGAGGGCGCGAGCCCCGCUUCAGCUUUCCCGCCCUCCCGGCCCGAACCAAUGGAGCUGUCCCAGACUCUUGAGUGAUGGCGGUACGAACCAGUAGGAGCAGGGACUCGCCGCUGCCCCCUGGCGUGCGUCGCGUGUCACGCUGGCUGCUGAGGGAAGCCUUGCUGCCUGGAUCCUGCUUGCGUGCUGCCCUCUGCUGCCUCGUCGAGGCAGGGUGAGGAUAGAGGAGUUUGGAAACGGGCCUUUCUGAAGCGUGUUCCCCAGACCGUGCCUCUGUGUGCACUCCCAAACCUGUCGAUGAGGUGUAUGCCUGUGACAGCAAGCCCUGCACAGUGGGGCUGUGGGUUAGAUGCAGGGGCGGCCAAAGCGGUGGUUGUGCUUUGUGCUAGGCAGUGUAGCUCGUAGCAGAGCUGACUUGAUCUAUUACUGCAGUGUGGCAGGCUGGGCUGCACUGCCAGAACUCCUGUGUGGAGCUCCCUCAUGCAUCUGCAGUCAACCCUGUGUGCUGAGGAGGACCUUGUGGUUGAGAGUUGGGACCUCUGCAUCGCAGGGUGGCUGUGAGACCUUUUGCUGGGCAGGAACAUGCUUGAGUUUGCUCCUCAUUGCAUUAAGAAAGUCCUGUUGA
Long non-coding RNA from Aquila chrysaetos chrysaetos, 994 nucleotides. RefSeq lists it as uncharacterized. Lineage: Eukaryota; Metazoa; Chordata; Aves; Accipitriformes; Accipitridae. The transcript has 2 exons. The record is from RefSeq and is a predicted model, not a curated record.